AAAUNCCGGACGGACCGAANACGUGAAAAUGCCUCCGNAAGAGGUGGACUCAUUUAUGUGGUAACGUGCGCCUACGUGUYUGCAUGAACGAAACUUAUCACAUGGUUUUGGUGCCCCCCAAAAGUGUGUGAUAUGUGAGCAAAAAAUUCUCAGACUUCUUGGUGCGAGGGUGCGCUUAGGUAUAGUAGGGAGAGCUGUACGUCUUCCAAGUGCUUGAGAAAAUGAUGUUCGCCCGUACGAGUAACGUUGGUUUAGACUCAUUUUCGAGGUAUUCGAGCGUAUUACCUAGGCCGCGGUGCGGCCAGACCGUGCCACUUAGUCGGCCGCGGCUGACCACACCUUGGUCGCAGCUACGGGGGUAAGGUGUUGGGGCUGGCUGCAGCCGGCUAUUGGAGGCCUUUGGCUGGCCGAGGCUGGCUACUGCUUAGAUCUGGCUGGCCGGGGCGUGUUGCGACUGCUCGGUGCUUGGCUACAGCCGGCCAUUGCUGGCUGUGGACGUGCUGUGACUGGCUGGUGCUUGGAUAGGUCUCGUGCGGAAG
RNAcentral lists this unclassified non-coding RNA (539 nucleotides) under Oplismenus hirtellus. RNAcentral describes it as "partial external transcribed spacer". The record is from RNAcentral. Lineage: Eukaryota; Viridiplantae; Streptophyta; Magnoliopsida; Poales; Poaceae.